RNAcentral lists this ribosomal RNA (945 nucleotides) under Vibrio sp. j21424. Its description in RNAcentral is "bacterial SSU rRNA". It matches the Rfam family "Bacterial small subunit ribosomal RNA", at positions 34 to 964 of the family's 1533-position model. The record is from RNAcentral. Lineage: Bacteria; Pseudomonadati; Pseudomonadota; Gammaproteobacteria; Vibrionales; Vibrionaceae.
UGCUAGCGCGGCUACCAUGCAGUCGAGCGGAACGAGUUAUCUGAACCUUCGGGGAACGAUAACGGCGUCGAGCGGCGGACGGGUGAGUAAUGCCUAGGAAAUUGCCCUGAUGUGGGGGAUAACCAUUGGAAACGAUGGCUAAUACCGCAUAAUACCUUCGGGUCAAAGAGGGGGACCUUCGGGCCUCUCGCGUCAGGAUAUGCCUAGGUGGGAUUAGCUAGUUGGUGAGGUAAUGGCUCACCAAGGCGACGAUCCCUAGCUGGUCUGAGAGGAUGAUCAGCCACACUGGAACUGAGACACGGUCCAGACUACUACGGGAGGCAGCAGUGGGGAAUAUUGCACAAUGGGCGCAAGCCUGAUGCAGCCAUGCCGCGUGUGUGAAGAAGGCCUUCGGGUUGUAAAGCACUUUCAGUCGUGAGGAAGGUAGUGUAGUUAAUAGCUGCAUUAUUUGACGUUAGCGACAGAAGAAGCACCGGCUAACUCCGUGCCAGCAGCCGCGGUAAUACGGAGGGUGCGAGCGUUAAUCGGAAUUACUGGGCGUAAAGCGCAUGCAGGUGGUUUGUUAAGUCAGAUGUGAAAGCCCGGGGCUCAACCUCGGAAUAGCAUUUGAAACUGGCAGACUAGAGUACUGUAGAGGGGGGUAGAAUUUCAGGUGUAGCGGUGAAAUGCGUAGAGAUCUGAAGGAAUACCGGUGGCGAAGGCGGCCCCCUGGACAGAUACUGACACUCAGAUGCGAAAGCGUGGGGAGCAAACAGGAUUAGAUACCCUGGUAGUCCACGCCGUAAACGAUGUCUACUUGGAGGUUGUGGCCUUGAGCCGUGGCUUUCGGAGCUAACGCGUUAAGUAGACCGCCUGGGGAGUACGGUCGCAAGAUUAAAACUCAAAUGAAUUUGACGGGGGCCCGCACAAGCGGUGGAGCAUGUGGUUUAAUUCGAUGCAACGCGA